UGGAGGAGUCUGGAGGACACUGUUGAAGUCCGAUUGGCGCUAUCGAAGGUUGAUGGCUGGAGAGGUAUGGAAGACAUCGGAGACAGUCGGUCACUGUAGAAAUUUGGCUGCUGGAGUCCGUCUGUUGUAGAAGUUCGUCUGGAAUCCAAUUCUGUUGUAGAAAUUUGGACGGAGUCCGGUUCUUGUAGGAGUCUGAAAGGAGGCCGCUUACUAUAGAAGCUCGGAUGGAGAUCGGUUGCCGUGGAAGCUCGGGCGAAGUCCACUUACCGUAGAAACUCGGAUGAAGUCCACUUGCAAUAGAAGUUUGGAUGAAGUUCGCUUACUGGAGAAGCUCGGAUGAAAUUCGAAAGGUGGUCGACUACUGUAGAAACUUGGAUGGAGUCUGGCUACUGUAGAAGUCCUACUGCUGGAGAACUCCGGACAUUGAUGAAGUUCGAAAGAAGCUUGGCGUAAAGUCGAUCAUGACAGGAGGAAGUCUGGAAAAGAUUCGGAGAGUAGUCGAUCACUAUAGAAAAUCGACUGAUAGUGAAGCCCAGAGAGCAUUUGGAGCAGUCCGAUAGAUGACUGAAGGAGCUCAUUAUUGGAGAAGUCUGGAGGGUACGAUAGGAGUUCAUCCGUUGGAGGAAUCUGGAGGACACUGUGAAAGGUCGACUGCUGGAGGAGUUCGAAAAGAUGCCGCACAAGGUCGGAAGCUGGAAGAGUCCUGGGAGGGUUGGCCUCUUAUGAACUUCGGCUGGGGUUAUUUUUUACCCAACAGUAUUUAAAAUUUUAUUUACUCAUUAAAAGAGCUAAAUUUAUAUUUUCGUGUGAUUAACUCUCAUACUCUGUUUUUGUCUUAAUCUUUAGUUUUGGAAGGGUUCCAAAACUUGGAAAGAUUAGUCCGAACCUUGAAUUGGAUUGUAU
RNAcentral lists this long non-coding RNA (903 nucleotides) under Elaeis guineensis (African oil palm). RNAcentral's name for it is "long non-coding RNA (EGUI_LNC070819)". The record is from RNAcentral. Lineage: Eukaryota; Viridiplantae; Streptophyta; Magnoliopsida; Arecales; Arecaceae.